UAAGUAGACAGUGGAAGCGUUCGGCUCAACCGGAUAUCCAUUGUCUAAACUGCUAAGCUCGAGGAUGAGAGAGGUUAUUGGAAUUCCCUGUGUAGGAGUGAAAUCCGUAGAUAUAGGGAGGAACACCGAUGGCGUAGGCAGAUAACUGGCUCAUUCCUGACACUAAGGCACGAAAGCGUGGGAGCAAACGGGAUUAGAUACCCCGGUAGUCCACGCCGUAAACUAUGGAUGCUA
Molecule: ribosomal RNA, 234 nt
Filed under: uncultured Candidatus Saccharibacteria bacterium
Lineage: Bacteria; Candidatus Saccharimonadota
Description: partial 16S ribosomal RNA
Rfam family: Bacterial small subunit ribosomal RNA
Source: RNAcentral